CAUGGCUCAGAUCGAACGCUGGCGGCAUGGCUAAGACAUGCAAGUCGUACGGACCUUCUAGUUGAAUCGGGAGGUUAGUGGCGGACGGGAGAGUAAUGCAUAGGUAAUGUACCCUUGACACCGGGAUAACUGCGGGCUUUGCCCUUUGCGAAAGUGCAGCUAAUACCGGAUGAUUUCGCUGGAUCGCAUGAUCUGGUGAUCAAAGGUGGGGACCUUCGGGCCUGCCGGUCGAGGAUCAGCCUAUGUCCUAUCAGCUUGUUGGUGGUGUAAUGGACCACCAAGGCUACGACGGGUAGCGGGUGUGAGAGCAUGACCCGCCUCAUCGGGACUGAGACACUGCCCGGACACCUACGGGUGGCUGCAGUAACGAAUAUUGGGCAAUGGGCGCAAGCCUGACCCAGCAAUGCCGCGUGCAGGAGGAAGUCCCUCGGGGUGUAAACUGCUGUCAGGUCCUAGCAAGCAAGGAGCGUAAAUAGCGCUCUGCGUUGAGCAGGUCCAAAGGAAGCCUCGGCUAACUCUGUGCCAGCAGCCGCGGUAAGACAGAGGAGGCAAGCGUUGUUCGGAAUUACUGGGCUCAAAGAGCGUGUAGGCGGUUUGGUAAGUGUCCUGUGAAAGCCCACGGCUCAACCGUGGAAAUGCAGGGCAAACUGCCCGACUUGAGGUCAGUAGGGGUGCUCGGAACUCUAGGUGGAGCGGUGGAAUGCGUAGAUAUCUAGAGGAACGCCAGUGGCGAAAGCGGAGCACUGGGCUGACUCUGACGCUGAGACGCGAAAGCGUGGGGAGCAAACAGGAUUAGAUACCCUGGUAGUCCACGCCGUAAACGAUGCACACUAGAUUUGGGAGGCUCUGACGCCAUCCGAGUCGAAGGGAGACCGAUAAGUGUGCCGCCUGGGGAGUACGGCCACAAGGCUAAAACUCAAAGGAAUUGACGGGGGCUCACACAAGCGGUGGAGCAUGUGGCUUAAUUCGAAGCAACGCGAAGAACCUUACCCAGGUUUGACAUACAUGGAUGCAAUUUGGGGAUAACCCGAAACGCUGCUCUUCGGAGUGAAACAUGUACAGGUGUUGCAUGGCUGUCGUCAGCUCGUGCUGUGAAGUGUCGGGUUAAGUCCCUUAACGAGCGAAACCCCUAUCGUUAGUUGCCAGCGCGUAAUGGCGGGGACUCUAGCGAGACUACCGGCGUUAAGCCGGAGGAAGGCGGGGACGACGUCAAGUCAUCAUGGCCCUUAUGCCUGGGGAUGCACACGUGCUACAAUGGUGUAUACAGAGCGACGCGAGACCGCGAGGUGGAGCAAAUCGCACAAAAUACGCCCCAGUUCGGAUUGGAGUCUGCAAUUCGACUCCAUGAAGUUGGAAUCGCUAGUAAUCGCGUAUCAGCUACGACGCGGUGAAUGUGUUCCUGAGCCUUGUACACACCGCCCGUCAAGUCAUGGAAGCUGGUAGCACCCGAAGUCCGUUUAGCUAA
This 1465-nucleotide ribosomal RNA is filed under the name uncultured Phycisphaera sp. RNAcentral describes it as "bacterial SSU rRNA". It matches the Rfam family "Bacterial small subunit ribosomal RNA". Lineage: Bacteria; Pseudomonadati; Planctomycetota; Phycisphaerae; Phycisphaerales; Phycisphaeraceae. The record is from RNAcentral.